Molecule: ribosomal RNA, 484 nt
Filed under: uncultured bacterium
Lineage: Bacteria
Description: partial 16S ribosomal RNA
Rfam family: Bacterial small subunit ribosomal RNA
Source: RNAcentral
AUUGAACGCUGGCGGCAUGCUUUACACAUGCAAGUCGAACGGCAGCGCGGGCUUCGGCCUGGCGGCGAGUGGCGAACGGGUGAGUAAUGCAUCGGAACGUGCCCAGUAGUGGGGGAUAGCCCGGCGAAAGCCGGAUUAAUACCGCAUACGACCUGAGGGUGAAAGCGGGGGACCGAAAGGCCUCGCGCUAUUGGAGCUGCCGAUGUCGGAUUAGCUAGUUGGUGGGGUAAAGGCUUACCCAGGCGACGAUCCGUAGCUGGUCUGAGAGGACGACCAGCCACACUGGGACUGAGACACGGCCCAGACUCCUACGGGAGGCAGCAGUGGGGAAUUUUGGACAAUGGGGGCAACCCUGAUCCAGCCAUGCCGCGUGCGGGAAGAAGGCCUUCGGGUUGUAAACCGCUUUUGUUCGGGAAGAAAUCCUCUGGGCUAAUACCCCGGGGGGAUGACGGUACCGGAAGAAUAAGCACCGGCUAACUACGUG